Molecule: ribosomal RNA, 612 nt
Filed under: Stenotrophomonas sp. Ri2Pt_4161
Lineage: Bacteria; Pseudomonadati; Pseudomonadota; Gammaproteobacteria; Lysobacterales; Lysobacteraceae
Description: bacterial SSU rRNA
Rfam family: Bacterial small subunit ribosomal RNA
Source: RNAcentral
GCCAUACCGCGUGGGUGAAGAAGGCCUUCGGGUUGUAAAGCCCUUUUGUUGGGAAAGAAAAGCAGUCGAUUAAUACUCGGUUGUUCUGACGGUACCCAAAGAAUAAGCACCGGCUAACUUCGUGCCAGCAGCCGCGGUAAUACUAAGGGUGCAAGCGUUACUCGGAAUUACUGGGCGUAAAGCGUGCGUAGGUGGUUGUUUAAGUCUGUUGUGAAAGCCCUGGGCUCAACCUGGGAAUUGCAGUGGAUACUGGGCGACUAGAGUGUGGUAGAGGGUAGUGGAAUUCCCGGUGUAACAACGAAAUGCGUAAAGAUCGGGAGGUACAUCCAUGGCGAAGGCAGCUACCUGGACCAACACUGACACUGAGGAUCGAAAGCGUGGGGAGCAAACAGGAUUAAAUACCCUGGUAGUCCACGCCCUAAACGAUGCGAACUGGAUGUUGGGUGCAAUUUGGCACGCACUAUCGAAGCUAACGCGUUAAGUUCGCCGCCUGGGGAGUACUGUCGCAAGACUGAAACUCCGGGAAUUGACGGGGGCCCGCACAAGCGGUGGAGUAAGUGGUUUAAUUCUAUGCCACGCGAAGAACCUUACCUGGACUUGACAUGUCCAGAA